UAAGAUCUAAUCCAGAGUACCACGAGACACGUGAAACCUUGUGGGAAGCAGGGAGGACCACCUCCCAAGGCUAAAUACUACCUAGUGACCGAUAGUGAAGCAGUACCGUGAGGGAAAGGUGAAAAGAACCCCGGAAGGGGAGUGAAAUAGAACCUGAAACCGUGUGCCUACAACCGAUCGGAGCACGUUAAAGUGUGACGAUGUGCUUUUUGUAGAACGAGCCAGCGAGUUACGCUAUGUAGCAAGGUUAAGUACUUAAGGUAUGGAGCCGAAGGGAAACCGAGUCUGAAAAGGGCGAAAAGUUGCAUGGUGUAGACCCGAAACCGGGUGACCUAUCCAUGGCCAGGUUGAAGCGAGAGUAAAAUCUCGUGGAGGACCGAACCACGUUGGUGUUGAAAAACCAUGGGAUGAGCUGUGGAUAGCGGAGAAAUUCCAAUCGAACUCGGAGAUAGCUGGUUCUCCUCGAAAUAGCUUU
This 475-nucleotide ribosomal RNA is filed under the name Clostridium botulinum. RNAcentral describes it as "partial 23S ribosomal RNA". It matches the Rfam family "Bacterial large subunit ribosomal RNA", at positions 396 to 871 of the family's 2925-position model. The record is from RNAcentral. Lineage: Bacteria; Bacillati; Bacillota; Clostridia; Eubacteriales; Clostridiaceae.